AGUGAACGCUGGCGGUAGGCCUAACACAUGCAAGUCGAACGGCAGCACAGUAAGAGCUUGCUCUUACGGGUGGCGAGUGGCGGACGGGUGAGGAAUACAUCGGAAUCUACUUUUUCGUGGGGGAUAACGUAGGGAAACUUACGCUAAUACCGCAUACGACCUACGGGGGAAAGCAGGGGAUCUUCGGACCUUGCGCGAUUGAAUGAGCCGAUGUCGGAUUAGCUAGUUGGCGGGGUAAAGGCCAACCAAGGCGACGAUCCGUAGCUGGUCUGAGGGGAUGAUCGGCCACACUGGAACUGAGACACGGUCCAGACUCCUACGGGAGGCAGCAGUGGGGAAUAUUGGACAAUGGGCGCAAGCCUGAUCCAGCCAUACCGCGUGGGUGAAGAAGGCCUUCGGGUUGUAAAGCCCUUUUGUUGGGAAAGAAAAGCAGCAGGUUAAUACCCCGCUGUUCUGACGGUACCCAAAGAAUAAGCACCGGCUAACUUCGUG
RNAcentral lists this ribosomal RNA (492 nucleotides) under uncultured bacterium. RNAcentral describes it as "partial 16S ribosomal RNA". It matches the Rfam family "Bacterial small subunit ribosomal RNA", at positions 29 to 507 of the family's 1533-position model. The record is from RNAcentral.